Molecule: ribosomal RNA, 617 nt
Filed under: uncultured Acidobacteriota bacterium
Lineage: Bacteria; Pseudomonadati; Acidobacteriota
Description: bacterial SSU rRNA
Rfam family: Bacterial small subunit ribosomal RNA
Source: RNAcentral
CGAACAUCGCUGGCGGCGUGCCUCACACUGCAUGUCGAACGAUUAAGCUCCCUUCGGGGAGUGCAUAAAGUGGCGCACGGGUGUAACACGUAAGUAAUCUACCCUCGAGUGGGGAAUAACAACCGGAAACGGUUGCUAAUACCUGCAUAAUGCAGCGGCACCGCAAGGUGACAGUUGUUAAAGAUUUAUCGCUUGAGGAGGAGCUUGCGGCAGAUUAGCUAGUUGGUAAGGUAAUGGCUUACCAAGGCAACGAUCUGUAGCCGGUCUAAGAGGACGGUCGGUCACACUGACACUGAAUAACGGGUCAGACUCCUACGGGAGGCAGCAGUCGGGAAUUUAGGGCAAUGGGGGAAACCCUGACCCAGCAACGCCGCGGUGAAGGAUGAAGUAUAUCGGUAUGUAAACUUCGAAAGAAUGGGAAGAAUAAAUGACGGUACCAUUUAUUAGCUCCGGCUAACUACGUGCCAACAGCCGCGGUAAUACGUAGGGAGCAAGCGUAAGUCGGAUUUACUGGGCGUAAAGGGCGCGUAGGCAGCAUGACAAGUCACUUGUGAAAUCUCCGGGCUUAACCCGGAACGGCAAGUGAUACUGUCGCGCUAGAGUGCGGAAGGGGCAAU